This 292-nucleotide ribosomal RNA is filed under the name uncultured bacterium. RNAcentral's name for it is "partial 16S ribosomal RNA". It matches the Rfam family "Bacterial small subunit ribosomal RNA", at positions 505 to 796 of the family's 1533-position model. The record is from RNAcentral.
GUGCCAGCAGCCGCGGUAAUACGGAGGGUGCAAGCGUUAUCCGGAUUCACUGGGUUUAAAGGGUGCGUAGGUGGGUUGGUAAGUCCGUGGUGAAAUCUCCGAGCUUAACUCGGAAACUGCCGUGGAUACUAUCAAUCUUGAAUACUGUGGAGGUAAGCGGAAUAUGUCAUGUAGCGGUGAAAUGCUUAGAUAUGACAUAGAACACCGAUAGCGAAGGCAGCUUGCUACACAGUCAUUGACACUGAGGCACGAAAGCGUGGGGAGCAAACAGGAUUAGAAACCCUUGUAGUCC